CCCUAGCCCUGAUGGGAGCGGCAUCCUUUUGUGUCCGCCGCGGCGGACACAAAAGAUACAGUGGACAGCAAGAAUCAGC
RNAcentral lists this small RNA (79 nucleotides) under Flavobacterium nitrogenifigens. RNAcentral's name for it is "Flavo-1 RNA". It matches the Rfam family "Flavo-1 RNA". The record is from RNAcentral. Lineage: Bacteria; Pseudomonadati; Bacteroidota; Flavobacteriia; Flavobacteriales; Flavobacteriaceae.